GGCUUCCCCAAUUUCAAAUGCACAAAUUUAGUUACUAAUCAUACAAAUUUUUGUAGUUUGAAGCAGCUUAUUGUUCUAUAAAAAGAUGCAUAUAAUUUAUACUCGUCGAGUAAUUAUAGCUUUACUCAUUGCUUACGUUGCUGCUGCUGCUGAUUUAGAGAUCAACGGAGCUGAAAAAACAGGUGUAGAUGGAUUGAUUUUGAGUAGUAAUAGUAGUGUGAAUGAGAAAUUAGAUCCGAUGA
RNAcentral lists this unclassified non-coding RNA (242 nucleotides) under Hevea brasiliensis (rubber tree). The record is from RNAcentral. Lineage: Eukaryota; Viridiplantae; Streptophyta; Magnoliopsida; Malpighiales; Euphorbiaceae.